Molecule: long non-coding RNA, 2000 nt
Organism: Galeopterus variegatus (Sunda flying lemur)
Lineage: Eukaryota; Metazoa; Chordata; Mammalia; Dermoptera; Cynocephalidae
Exons: 2
Source: RefSeq, a predicted model, not a curated record
AUGUGUCAUAACAGUUAUCUCCCUAAAACGGAGCUGGCAGUUGUGGAUAGAAUGGGCUGUAUGUUGUCCCAGGUCAUCAGAGUGUCCCAUCUUGGUUUGGAAUAGUCCCCUCUUCUCUGAACCUCAGCUGCUUGUCUGUGUCAAACAGAAAAAAACAACUGUUUUUGUCAUAAUUUCAGUUGUAAUAAGGUUUUUGUGGGUGUAUUUAUUUCAUCAAGCAGAGUGAAUUUGUUGCCCUGUUGUUUAAUAUGAAAAUUAACUUCAGAUCAUGAAAGAAAAUUAAAAUUAUAUUGCUGUCUCAUUAUUUUUAGUCAUGGUUCAUCAGAACACAUUAAGAUUCAGAACCAAAGAUUAUAAGAAAUUGGAGGAAAUAUAGGACAGCAUUGCUUGGAUCCAGAUGCUUAUAUAUUGGAUGUAUGUCAUGGAAAUCCUCAAGCAGAAUGGGUGAUUAAACCCCAACCAAGUCUUUGAGAUUCUCCAAGAUGACUGCUAUUGCAUAUUAAAUGCCAAGGAGAUCCUACAUUAGGUGGAGAAAAGGCCACACUGCUUUUGAUGUGUUUGUUCCCACAAUCCUGUUGGUGUUUCUGGCCUGAGUGGUGGUGUCUCCCAGCAUCACCAACAUGAACUAUGGAAGAGGAGCAGGUUCACCAUUUGAGCUGAAGCCUUCUCAUGACAUUUCCUUGAUAAAAGUAAAAAGGAUGUGAUCCUUCAAGAAAAAAGUUCAGUCUAGAAUAUGGAGCUCUAAUCAUUUCUAGUAUUUUGACUUCUCAGCAGAAAUGAACUUGACCCUCUAACUGGGGAUAAGCAACAUGUCUCUUUGCAGCCAAUGCUACCAAACACGAAGGGUGAAAGAGACCCUUUUUUAUACUUAUAUACAUAUAUAUUGACCUUUUUGAGCAAGAAUGUCAGAAAUAGCCUUAAUUUCUGCCCUGCAAAAUAAUCUAGAUUUACCUUCCAAAGAGAACCAGUUUCCAAAGUGAAACAUACAAUAUUUAUGUUCUGACUUGCUCUUGAAUUGGAGGAGGAAGAACUUCUCUUUAAAGAAAACUGUAUUGUUAUGUAUGUCAUACUGUAUUGUGAUUGUCAGCAUUCUGGUGCAAAUGAACAUUUCUGUAUCAUUGACUGUUGAAAAUUGUUAUUUUUAGUUUGUUCUCUUAUGAGCACAGGUCCCCCCAGUGAAGCUUAUUUUAACAAAGGGUGCCUUAUACUUUCAUAACCUUCUUUGAGCCCUGUUUUCUCACCAUGUUUAUAGUGCUCAAUGACUGUCCACGUGCCAGACACAGAUUUCUUUUCCUGAUCAAAUAUACCAUUUUUUUAUAUUUCACAGCUGUAGAUAUUUACUUCUGCAGUCCCAAUUUUAAAACACAGAACUGCUUUUCUCCAAGAGUCCUGAAAAAUACUAUUAUACCCGGGUUUUAUAAGCUGUAAAAGCAGAUUUUGCUUUCAUUCAUUAAUCAUAGACAUGGCUUAGCACUGUGGAUUGGCUUUAGGCUUUAAAAUCAGAUGGAUUUUUUGUAAGCUGAAAACUGUCAAGAUCUCACAGAGCCAUUUUCCAGACCUGCUACUGGCCAGAAUACACAGUCCCCACAUUUCUAUUUUAGAGCAAAUCUAAAAUGUGCCAAGAGACUGGGCAGCUCUCCCUUUCAUCCUCUGACUACAGAUGUAGCCCAUCUAGGGUUAGCUAGAAAUGGGGACAGAGUUCUCAGUUAUCCCAGAUGUGUACUUUAGCUUGGAAUCCACAGAUAACUCUCUCUUGCAAUUCAAACAAUAGACAAAGUUGCUCACAAAAGCAGAAAAAAAAAUUUGGGGAGGGGUCUAUUUACCAAAUCUCAAAACAUAAUGUGAUAAUAUUUUAAGCAUGUAUUUAGAAGAAGUCUUUUAUAUGCUAUGUUAUGCCUUGAUGUCUAUACAAAAUAUUGCCUGUAUUCAACAUGUAGAUAAUUGCAUUUCUGGCCUUUAGGAUUUUAUUGUAUUUUUAUAGAAAACACAGUGAUCCAUUA